GGCGACCGGCGCACGGGUGAGUAACACGUAUCCAACCUGCCCUUUACUCGGGGAUAGCCUUUCGAAAGAAAGAUUAAUACCCGAUAGCAUAAUGAUUCCGCAUGGUUUCAUUAUUAAAGGAUUCCGGUAAAGGAUGGGGAUGCGUUCCAUUAGAUAGUAGGCGGGGUAAUGGCCCACCAAGGCGACGAUCGGUAGCCGGACUGAGAGGUUGAACGGCCACAUUGGGACUGAGACACGGCCCAG
Molecule: ribosomal RNA, 243 nt
Filed under: uncultured bacterium
Lineage: Bacteria
Description: partial 16S ribosomal RNA
Rfam family: Bacterial small subunit ribosomal RNA
Source: RNAcentral